This is a long non-coding RNA of Oncorhynchus nerka (sockeye salmon), 1146 nucleotides long. RefSeq lists it as uncharacterized. The transcript is spliced from 2 exons. The record is from RefSeq and is a predicted model, not a curated record. NCBI's taxonomy places the organism in Eukaryota, Metazoa, Chordata, Actinopteri, Salmoniformes, Salmonidae.
UUUCAUGCGUGAGUUCCAAAUAUCUCUAACGGUCGCCCCAGCGUGAGUUUUUUUAUGCACGUGAUGUUAGAAUGUUCUCUCCAUUCCAGAAUGUGAUUGAUACGUAACAGUACAUUUUAUCCGCGCUGCCCUCAAACUAAAGCACGCAGCCUGUUUAUAUUUAUAGGUUGUUUUAACUUCAAUUUCAAAUGAUUUUCAAACAAGUUUUUAUUUUCUAAAAACAGUUUGAAUUUAGGUGUGUUACGCCUCCUCAUUCAUUCACAUAAAAAUAGUCAUUUUUACUUUUGCGGAUAAUUACAUUUUUGGGACAUUUCUGACACGGACAAAAUUCCCCAAGCACUACCCAAUUGUUUGUGCAGUUCACGUCUGCAGACAUUUGCUCAUCUCCCGUCAGAACAGGAUCUGCACACGUGUUCACAUUUUCUAUUCCACAUUUCUAUUGUAGCGUACUGUAUGUAUGGAGCAUAAUAUAUUUGUGUAUAUUCUUUAUCACCGCGGACACGUGAGGUAACGUUACUCAUUUUAUAACCUUUAUGGUGUUAUAGUCAAUCGUGCUUACGUAGCCACAUUCUUCUAUUACCUCUGUAAAACAAUGCUAAAUGCGUCAGAGAAGUAUUAUCUUGUGUUGCAUUUUGAAGCUACCCCAUGGCCUUAUGACUCUCAAGUGGUGCAGCGGUCAAAGGCACAGCACAUCAGUACUAGAGGCGUCACUACAGACUCCCUGGUUCAAAUCCAGGCUGCGUUUCCAUCAAAAAACCAGAAACAUUAUUUGUCAAUAUCAUAACUGGAGCUGGACAUCUUUGGAGCUGAAGAAUGAGGACAGCUUUUGUAUGCUAACGUACACUCCUUAACAGUUGUACUGGAUGAAAACACAGCAAGAAAACACAUAUGCCAAUAUGUAAUAUUAAUCUAUUUUAUUGCAGUACUGGUAGUUGGUUCAACAACUUGUUUUACUAGAGGACAAAAAACUGAAUAUGCAUAACCCAUAUUUAAUAUCCAUGCAGUGACUGAACAACAACUGCAUUUCCACCCCCAUCUCUAAGGCAUAGUAUCAUGGCUGCAACAACACUGAAUGGCGCAGAGUGGGAGGUUACGUGGUUGACUGCCGGCACACGCUACUUGUAUCAAUAAAUCACUAUCAGAAAA